RNAcentral lists this ribosomal RNA (429 nucleotides) under uncultured bacterium. RNAcentral's name for it is "bacterial SSU rRNA". It matches the Rfam family "Bacterial small subunit ribosomal RNA", at positions 355 to 776 of the family's 1533-position model. The record is from RNAcentral.
UGAGGAAUAUUCCGCAAUGGGCGAAAGCCUGACGGAGUGAUGUCGCGUGAGUGAUGAAGGCCUUCGGGUUGUAAAGCUCUUCGGAUAGGGAGUAAGAAAACUCGGAUAAUAUCCGGGUAAUUUGACAGUACUUAUACAACAAGCACCGGCUAACCCCGUGCCAGCAGCUGCGGUAAUACGGGGGGUGCAAGCGUUGAUCGGAUUGACUGGGCGUAAAGGGAGCGUAGGCGGUCAAAUAAGUCAGUUGUGAAAUUCCGGGGCUCAACCCCGGAGCUGCGACUGAAACUAUUUGACUAGAGGAUGGUAGGGGAAAACAGAAUUCUGCAUGUAGCGGUGAAAUGCGUAGAUAUGCAGAGGAAUACCGGUGGCGAAGGCGGUUUUCUGUACCAUUCCUGACGCUGAGGCUCGAAAGUGUGGGGAGCAAACAGG